GGGUCGGAUCGAAAUUUAGUAAAUCCAGAUCUGGUCCGAAAUAUUGAAUGGAUUCAAUUUUAGAACCCAAUCCGGCCCCAUAGAUCCUUUAAAAUAAUUUGGGUCGGAUCUAAAUGGAUCGGAUCGGGUCGGAUCUUGGAUCAAUCCGACUUAUUUACAGCCCAAGAUCCGACCUAUUUACAGUCUUAUUUGUGGGUUAUCUGCUUCAUUGCCAUCCCUAUUUAUAAGGUCUGCUGGGUGUCUUGCAGGUGACA
Molecule: long non-coding RNA, 254 nt
Filed under: Elaeis guineensis (African oil palm)
Lineage: Eukaryota; Viridiplantae; Streptophyta; Magnoliopsida; Arecales; Arecaceae
Description: long non-coding RNA (EGUI_LNC000378)
Source: RNAcentral